Capsicum annuum is the source of this 664-nucleotide long non-coding RNA. RefSeq lists it as uncharacterized. The record is from RefSeq and is a predicted model, not a curated record. The transcript has 3 exons. NCBI's taxonomy places the organism in Eukaryota, Viridiplantae, Streptophyta, Magnoliopsida, Solanales, Solanaceae.
CCUGAUCCCUUCACACAUAUAUAAAGGUGAUUAGGGUUUUCUAAAGCUCUAGUUUCCCUCAUCUACCGUUUAAGCUUAGUCUCAGGUGAAAAAUAAUGUUGGCUCUUCUUCUGAGUCUUCAAUAUUUGAUAUUGCUUCUUUGGGUCAUCAACACAGUGCCCUUGAUUUGCUCCUCCUCUUUAUUCUUCAGCUCUUAGAAACUUCGUCUGAGUUCUCUGGUGGAUGGGAUGUUUUUUGCUUUUUGGUGCUAAAUCGAAGGGUCUAGACCCCUAGGUAUGGAUCGGAUGGAGAAUUUGGAAUGCUCGGACCCGUAACUGCUUGAACAUGAGGCUUACACACAGGUGUAAUAGUUGCAUAGAUAUCCAGUGACCCUUUCCCUUUACUAAGAGUCCAUUUUGAUGGUUGAAAGUGUAUAGGCUAGUCAGUUUUUUUAUUAUUUUAUGCCCUUUGGGUAUGUAAAUACUAACAGUGAUGACUACUUUUUGUAAAUAUUGUAGCCUUCAACACCUUGCUCCCCUUUUAUCCUCUUUUUGUUGUUAUUAUGAUGUAAGGACAUUGAAGUUUGUCAUUAUUUAGGACUUUCUUUCUUUGUUGUCCAACUGUUGGAAAGAUGUAAAAUUGAACUCCUCUUUAUCUAUGGCAAGAUUUGCAUAUUAAUCAGCCA